This 406-nucleotide ribosomal RNA is filed under the name uncultured bacterium. RNAcentral's name for it is "partial 16S ribosomal RNA". It matches the Rfam family "Bacterial small subunit ribosomal RNA", at positions 355 to 774 of the family's 1533-position model. The record is from RNAcentral.
UGAGGAAUAUUGGACAAUGGGCGAAAGCCUGAUCCAGCUAGAUCGCGUGAGUGAUGAAGACUGUAUUGGUUGUAAAACUCUUUACUUGAAUGGAGAUUAUGACAAAGUUCAAGAAAAAAGUCCCGGCUAAUCUCGUGCCAGCAGCCGCGGUAAUACGAGAGGGGCAAGCGUUAUUCGGAAUGAUUGGGCGUAAAGUGCACGUAGGCUGUUUAGAAAAUCAACUAGAAAAAAAUCAAAGCUUAACUUUGACAUCUCUUUGUUUGAUUUCUAAACUUGAGUGAGUAAAAGGAGAAUGGAAUUCCUGGUGUAGAGGUAAAAUUUGUUGAUAUCAGGAGGAACAUCAAAAGCGAAGGCAAUUCUCUAGUACUUUACUGACGUUGAGGUGCGACAGCGUGGGGAUCAAAAG